GCAGUCGAGCGGACCGACGGGAGCUUGCUCCCUUAGGUCAGCGGCGGACGGGUGAGUAACACGUGGGUAACCUGCCUGUAAGACUGGGAUAACUCCGGGAAACCGGGGCUAAUACCGGAUGCUUGAUUGAACCGCAUGGUUCAAUCAUAAAAGGCGGCUUCGGCUGCCGUUUACAGAUGGACCCGCGGCGCAUUAGCUAGUUGGUGAGGUAACGGCUCACCAAGGCGACGAUGCGUAGCCGACCUGAGAGGGUGAUCGGCCACACUGGGACUGAGACACGGCCCAGACUCCUACGGGAGGCAGCAGUAGGGAAUCUUCCGCAAUGGACGAAAGUCUGACGGAGCAACGCCGCGUGAGUGAUGAAGGUUUUCGGAUCGUAAAGCUCUGUUGUUAGGGAAGAACAAGUACCGUUCGAAUAGGGCGGUACCUUGACGGUACCUAACCAGAAAGCCACGGCUAACUACGUGCCAGCAGCCGCGGUAAUACGUAGGUGGCAAGCGUUGUCCGGAAUUAUUGGGCGUAAAGCGCGCGCAGGCGGUUUCUUAAGUCUGAUGUGAAAGCCCCCGGCUC
RNAcentral lists this ribosomal RNA (570 nucleotides) under Bacillus sp. CSu4_26. RNAcentral describes it as "bacterial SSU rRNA". It matches the Rfam family "Bacterial small subunit ribosomal RNA", at positions 57 to 610 of the family's 1533-position model. The record is from RNAcentral. Lineage: Bacteria; Bacillati; Bacillota; Bacilli; Caryophanales; Bacillaceae.